GGGGGGGGGGGGGGGGGGGGGUGGGGGGGGCGGGGCGGGCGGGGGGGGGGGGCGUGCUCCGGGAGUCAGCGGCGGACGGGUGAGUGAGGCCUAGGAAUCUGCCUGUGCGUGGGGGAUCGCGGCCGGAACCGGGCACUAAUACCGCAUACGGCCUGCUGGAGCACGUGGGUGAUCUUCGGACCUCACGCUAUCAGAUGAUCCUAAGUCGGAUGAGCUAGUUGGGGGGGUACAGGCCUACCAAGGCGACGAUCCGUAACUGGUCUGAGAGGAGGAUCAGGCACACUGGAACUGAGACACGGUCCAGAAUCCUACGGGAGGCAGCAGUGGGGAAUAUUGGACAAUGGGCGAAAGCCUGAUCGAGCCAUGCCGCGUGUGUGAAGAAGGUCUUCGGAUUGUAAAGCACUUUAAGUUGGGAGGAAGGGAAGUAAGUUAAUACCUUGCUGUUUUGACGUUACCAACAGAAUAAGCACCGGCUAACUUCGUG
RNAcentral lists this ribosomal RNA (484 nucleotides) under uncultured bacterium. Its description in RNAcentral is "partial 16S ribosomal RNA". It matches the Rfam family "Bacterial small subunit ribosomal RNA", at positions 35 to 507 of the family's 1533-position model. The record is from RNAcentral.